CCCUUAGAUGUCCUGGGCCGCACGCGCGCUACACUGACGCAUUCAACAAGCCUAGCCUUGACCGAGAGGUCCGGGUAAUCUUUGAAACUGCAUCGUGAUGGGGCUAGAUUAUUGCAAUUAUUAAUCUUCAACGAGGAAUGCCUAGUAAGCGUGAUUCAUCAAAUCGCGUUGAUUACGUCCCUGCCCUUUGUACACACCGCCCGUCGCUCCUACCGAUUGAAUGUGUUGGUGAGGAGCUCGGAUUGGCAGCAGUUGGUGGUUCGCCACCGGCUAUUGCUGAGAAGUCCUCCAAACCGCCCCAUUUAGAGGAAGGAGAAGUCGUAACA
This 326-nucleotide ribosomal RNA is filed under the name uncultured eukaryote. Its description in RNAcentral is "partial 18S ribosomal RNA". It matches the Rfam family "Eukaryotic small subunit ribosomal RNA", at positions 1470 to 1796 of the family's 1831-position model. The record is from RNAcentral.